CAGUAGCCGCGGUAAUACAGAGGGUGCGAGCGUUAAUCGGAUUUACUGGGCGUAAAGCGUGCGUAGGCGGCUUUUUAAGUCGGAUGUGAAAUCCCUGAGCUUAACUUAGGAAUUGCAUUCGAUACUGGGAAGCUAGAGUAUGGGAGAGGAUGGUAGAAUUCCAGGUGUAGCGGUGAAAUGCGUAGAGAUCUGGAGGAAUACCGAUGGCGAAGGCAGCCAUCUGGCCUAAUACUGACGCUGAGGUACGAAAGCAUGGGGAGCAAACAGGAUUAGAUACCCCGGUAGUCCCUGUCUCUUAUAA
Molecule: ribosomal RNA, 301 nt
Filed under: uncultured bacterium
Lineage: Bacteria
Description: partial 16S ribosomal RNA
Rfam family: Bacterial small subunit ribosomal RNA
Source: RNAcentral